CAAAGAGUUACAAGAAAAGUCGAUCAAAUUCUCAGCUACAUUAAGGCAUACAGCAUUCUGGCUUGUCGGGAAAUAGGCAGUAUAACUUUACAGUAGAUGUAAUGGCAGCCUGAGGGACAGCAGGGAAUAUAAGUGGAUGGCAGCAAAAGGAAGAGAAAUGGCUGUGUAUUUCCAAAAGGAGGUGAUACAUGAAGAUAUAGAGAUGCACAGUUUGAGAGGGUUUCUUCCUUUGUCAAUCUCAACAACUCCACCCAACAUUCACCCUUUUACCCAAGGAACUGGAACGCAACCCAGAUGGAUACCUUCAGGAUGGGAAAAAUAUCUUCGGGAUAUUCUGAUUCAAUGACAUUCUG
This 353-nucleotide long non-coding RNA is filed under the name Phascolarctos cinereus (koala). Its description in RNAcentral is "lncRNA (ENSPCIG00000036389.1)". Lineage: Eukaryota; Metazoa; Chordata; Mammalia; Diprotodontia; Phascolarctidae. The record is from RNAcentral.